RNAcentral lists this unclassified non-coding RNA (341 nucleotides) under soil metagenome. Its description in RNAcentral is "partial contains 5.8S ribosomal RNA, internal transcribed spacer 2, and large subunit ribosomal RNA". The stretch from base 1 to 120 matches the Rfam family "5.8S ribosomal RNA", at positions 35 to 154 of the family's 154-position model. The record is from RNAcentral.
GAUGAAGAACGUAGCGAAAUGCGAUAAGUAAUGUGAAUUGCAGAAUUCAGUGAAUCAUCGAAUCUUUGAACGCACAUUGCGCCCGCCAGUAUUCUGGCGGGCAUGCCUGUUCGAGCGUCAUUUCAACCAUCAAGCCCCCGGCUUGUGUUGGGGACCUGCGGCUGCCCGCAGGCCCUGAAAACCAGUGGCGGUCCCGCUGUCACACCGAGCGUAGUAAGCAUUAUCUCGCUCAGGGCGUGCUGCGGGUUCCGGCCGUUAAAUGAAAAGCCUUCGUAGCCCAAGGUUGACCUCGGAUCAGGUAGGAAGACCCGCUGAACUUAAGCAUAUCAAUAAGCGGAGGA